GGGGAAUUUUGGAUAAUGGGCGAAAGCCUGAUCCAGCAAUGCCGCGUGAGUGAAGAAGGCCUUCGGGUUGUAAAGCUCUUUUGUCAGGGAAGAGACGGUGAGAGCUAAUAUCUCUUGCUAAUGACGGUACCUGAAGAAUAAGCACCGGCUAACUACGUGCCAGCAGCCGCGGUAAUACGUAGGGUGCAAGCGUUAAUCGGAAUUACUGGGCGUAAAGCGUGCGCAGGCGGUUUUGUAAGUCUGAUGUGAAAUCCCCGGGCUCAACCUGGGAAUUGCAUUGGAGACUGCAAGGCUAGAAUCUGGCAGAGGGGGGUAGAAUUCCACGUGUAGCAGUGAAAUGCGUAGAUAUGUGGAGGAACACCGAUGGCGAAGGCAGCCCCCUGGGUCAAGAUUGACGCUCAUGCACGAAAGCGUGGGGAGCAAACAGGAUUAGAUACCCUGGUAGUCCACGCCCUAAACGAUGUCUACUAGUUGUCGGGUCUUAAUUGACUUGGUAACGCAGCUAACGCGUGAAGUAGACCGCCUGGGGAGUACGGUCGCAAGAUUAAAACUCAAAUGAAUUGACGGAAAGGUGGCCGAAACCCCG
Molecule: ribosomal RNA, 586 nt
Filed under: uncultured bacterium
Lineage: Bacteria
Description: bacterial SSU rRNA
Rfam family: Bacterial small subunit ribosomal RNA
Source: RNAcentral